AACGCAUAUUGCGCCCUUUGGCAUUCCGAAGGGCAUGCCUGUUCGAGCGUCAUUAUCAACCCUCAAGCUUAGCUUGUUGUUGGAUGAAAUUUUAUUUAAGAAUUCGUCCCAAAGACAAUGGCGGCGUCUUUUGACCCUUGAUGCAACGAGCUUUUAAAGCACGCAUUUAAAGUGGUUAAUUGAUUCUAGACCUUUAUCAAUUAAUUUUUAAGGUUGACCUCGGAUCAGGUAGGAAUACCCGCUGAACUUAA
RNAcentral lists this unclassified non-coding RNA (251 nucleotides) under uncultured fungus. Its description in RNAcentral is "sequence contains ITS2". Lineage: Eukaryota; Fungi. The record is from RNAcentral.